CGUCAUUGUCAACCCUCAAGCCUUGCUUGCUGUUGGACCCCUCGACGAAAGUUGACGGCCCCAAAGAUAACGACGGUGUUGUGGCAACCCCCAGAUGCAACGAGCUUUAACACGCACGCGUCGCGGCGGUAUCGCAACCCAGUCUAAACAAUUAUUUUAAGGUUGACCUCGGAUCAGGUAGGAAUACCCGCUGAACUUAA
RNAcentral lists this unclassified non-coding RNA (200 nucleotides) under soil metagenome. RNAcentral's name for it is "partial contains internal transcribed spacer 2 and large subunit ribosomal RNA". The record is from RNAcentral.